RNAcentral lists this long non-coding RNA (3049 nucleotides) under Equus asinus (donkey). Its description in RNAcentral is "lncRNA (ENSEASG00005036267.1)". The record is from RNAcentral. Lineage: Eukaryota; Metazoa; Chordata; Mammalia; Perissodactyla; Equidae.
UUUUUUCUUUCUUCUUCUCCCCAAAGCCCCCCAGUACAUAGUUGUAGAUUGUAGUGUGAGUGCCUCUGGUUGUGGCAUGUGGGACGCUGCCUCAGCAUGGCCUGAUGAGCGGUGCCAUGUCCGCACCCAGGAUCCGAACCGGUGAAACCCUGGGCCGCCGAAGGCAGAGCACGUGAACUUGACCACUCGGCCACGGGGCCCAUUCCUACACUGGCUUUUUAGACUCGUCCUUCCCGAACUGCCCGGGCAGCUGGAUCGCAGCGCAUGGCGAAGGCGGGAGGUGCACUUCCCCCGGACCAGCGGGCUCGGGCUCCACAGUGACAGCGUCCAGGCCACAGAUGGGUCUUGCCAGUUGCUCCUCUCUGGGCCUGGCCUGAGCCCUUCGGAUGGUGUCAGCCCCGGGGCCUGGACCCAGGGUUUGAGGGCGAGGCUCCCGGGGCUUCUGCCUCAUGCGGAGGUUAGGUUACAAAGCCUGCAUGAAAGACUCCAAAUUCAUUUAGUCAAUUUACCCUUGAAAAUUCCUUAAAUGAACAGAAUGUAGGGCCCUUGGAAGCUCAAAAUCUAAUAAUUCACUUUGUUCUGUUUUCAUUUUGGCUGUGGCCUUGCUUUCCUUGGAACUGUGAAGACCAAGGUCUCAUUUGAACGAGGUGGGAAUUAGAGGAGGGUCAAGGGUUGACGAGCUCUCUCACACGUUUGAUUCAUCGCAAGUUUACGUGUGCAUGUGACGUGGCUCCUGCGUGUCGAUGUGGUGGGGGACAUCGCGGGCACAGAUACGUUGUGUCACUCAAUCUCACAGUGGCCAUAGGAGGUAAGCAGUAUGACUUCCCACCCACCCUGUAUAGAGGUGGAAACUGAAGCUCAGAGAGGGCCCAUAUGUAGCCUCAAGUCUGGAAAAUGGUCACUUAGUGAGUCCUCUGCCCUGUUGGCUCAUCAGUUGUGCCAGGAUGACUCUGAACCCAGAGCAAGCUCAGCAUAGGCUCAGGCCAGGGCCCCGAUACCCAGGACAUCACAGAAUGCUCUUUGCUCCAGGGUCAGACCUGGGGCUCUGUGAGGCUGAUGGAGUGGGUAAGCGCCAAUGAGGGGGGUGGGAAUCAGGGACAUGUCUCUGAGGGCGUGGCUAUGUGCUUUGUUCCUGUAGAUACUCAACGGGUGAAAGAUGGGGGAUGAUCCGAGCAGAAAGGCAUGUCAGACAGGAGGAAGGGAAGAGGCAAAGUGAGCGGGCUGGGAAGCAGAGCCUGUCUCCUGGAGAUUAGAGAGUGUGGCUGACGGCAAGUGGGUAGGGGGUGCUCUGGGCUAGAGAGCUAGGUAGUGCCAAACUAGGGUGAGCCUUGAGUGCUGCCAUGAGGGGUGAGCUUGUUGGGGGGGAAGGGAGGGCGUGGAAGACAGCCCGGCCCCCUAAAGCCCUGCUCAGGUUGCCCAGAAAGUGUGGCUAUUGGAUCCCAAGGCAGAUGGAAGUCGCCUGUCUUGACUUUGCCUGUUUGAGGCCUCAGGGGAGCAGGUGUUCCAUGUAUAGGAGUCAUGCGUUGAUUCCUAUAGGAUCAGAAACACUGGGCCCAGCCGCUGGAGGCUUCUAUCUCCACCUGAAGCCUCUCUCUGCGUAUCUCAGCAGGCUGGAGCCGUGCAUCCGUCAGUUGCAGGAGACAAAAAAUCCAGCGCAGAGGGAGUUUGCAGACUCUGGGAACUGGCCGUGUGAGCACUGACCAGGCUUCAGGCCUGGCUCUAACAAUCUGGGGUCUGAUCUCUCGCAGUCUUCCCUCUUUGCUCCCUGACGAGUUGGCCUCGCUCUCAGCUAGUCUCUUCCGAUUGAAGGCAAAGUGGUCACUCGCGGCUCCUGAGGUAGCCUCCUCCUCUGUCAACUUACAGCCUCAGUGGAAAAGCAGCCUUUACCACGAGCUCAGCAAGAGGCUCAGGAAGGGUUUUCAUUGGUCCAGCUCGAGUCACACACCUGUCCCUGACCAAUCACGGGGCUGUGUGUGAAUUAAGUGCCCACCCCUGGAGACCCUCAUGGACUGAGAGCCGGGGAGGGGGGUCCCCAAAGAAAAGAGACAUUUGAGUUGUCUCCACCUCUUGGCCACUGUGAAGAAAGUUGCUACAAACACGGGUGUGGAAAUGUCUCCCCAAGACUUGCUUUCAGCUGUUGUGCGUGCAUACCCAGAAGUGGAAUUGCGGGGUCAACGGUGGCCAAGAUAGGUCCUCUUAACAAGAAGGUGUGCUGGGCACACCUCAGCUCCAUCAGUCCUGGCUUCUGGGCCCCAGGAAUCGGAGGAAACCUGCUCCUCUCUAACAGCAGAGACGGGUCCAAGUCCCAAAGGCAAGGCGGGAAAGAUUUCACCCAAACUGAUGAAUCGACGGCUCUGGAUCAGUCAGGUCCCCUCCCUGAUGGGAAUUUGAAAGCGCAGCAUGUCCAAUCACGCUGGCUCCCUGGAAGCAAGCCCGCGCGUGACUCUGCCCUAGGACUUCACAGAUUUUUUCCCUAAAGCAGCUAACUCCUUAUCAGUUCAUAGCAGUCCAAAUUCAGAUUCCUGACAGAAUUUCACUUUAUGGCAAGAUUCUGUAAAAAAUAGAGUCUCGGGCUUUUCUUACACAAAUGUCUCCCCAAUUGCACCGUUAUCACUGUUUCUCAAAGUAUUUGGUAGAGUGUGUCACAUGCAGUAAGUGCAGUAGAACAUUAAUAAAUGUUCACGUUUGUAGCACACUUCUCAGUCUAUCGAGGGAUUUUAAUUAUGUCCUUUAAUUUGUGCUCACAGCCAUCCCAAGAGAGAACCAAUCAGAGAUUAACACGUCCAUUUUAUAAUUCAGGAAACUGAGGCUCAGAGAGGUGAAGAGGCUUGCCCAGGAUCACACAGGAGUAGGGGGCAGAUCUGGGAUACACACUCAGGCUUGCCUUACCCACCAUGAGCAGAAUGGAACAGAAUUUUCCAGCUGAGAUAGAGCUGUCAGACAAAAUACAAGAUACCCAGUUAAAUUUGAAUUUCGGAUAAACAACAACAAAAAUUUAGUAUAAGUAUGUCCCAUAUUGGGUGGACACACUUAUACUAAAAAUUAUUUG